CAACAGGGAUUGCCCUAGUAACGGCGAGUGAAGCGGCAACAGCUCAAAUUUGAAAUCUGGCCUUCGGGUCCGAGUUGUAAUUUGCAGAGGAUGCUUUUGGCGCGGUGCCUUCCGAGUUCCCUGGAACGGGACGCCUUAGAGGGUGAGAGCCCCGUACGGUUGGACACCAAGCCUCUGUAAAGCUCCUUCGACGAGUCGAGUAGUUUGGGAAUGCUGCUCUAAAUGGGAGGUAAAUUUCCUCUAAAGCUAAAUACCGGCCAGAGACCGAUAGCGCACAAGUAGAGUGAUCGAAAGAUGAAAAGCACUUUGAAAAGAGGGUUAAAUAGCACGUGAAAUUGUUGAAAGGGAAGCGUUUACGGCCAGACCUUUUCCUGGCGGAUCAUCUGGUGUUCUCACCAGUGCACUUCGCCAGGUUUAGGCCAGCAUCGGCUUCUGUAGGGGGAUAAAAGCAGUGGGAAAGUAGCUCCCUCGGGAGUGUUAUAGCCCUAAGCAUAAUACCCUUACGGGGGCCGAGGACCGCGCUCUUGCAAGGAUGCUGGCGUAAUGGUCGUCAACGA
This 557-nucleotide ribosomal RNA is filed under the name Biscogniauxia atropunctata. RNAcentral describes it as "eukaryotic LSU rRNA". It matches the Rfam family "Eukaryotic large subunit ribosomal RNA", at positions 66 to 647 of the family's 3401-position model. Lineage: Eukaryota; Fungi; Ascomycota; Sordariomycetes; Xylariales; Xylariaceae. RNAcentral also lists the same sequence under 1 other name. The record is from RNAcentral.